UACGGAGGGAGCUAGCGUUGUUCGGAAAUACUGGGCGUAAAGCGCACGUAGGCGGCGCAGCAAGUCAGGGGUGAAAUCCCGGGGCUCAACCCCGGAACUGCCUUUGAAACUGCAGUGCUAGAAUCUUGGAGAGGCGAGUGGAAUUCCGAGUGUAGAGGUGAAAUUCGUAGAUAUCGAGAGGAACACCGGUGGCGAAGGCGGCGAUCUGGACGAUGACUGACGCUGAGGCGCGAAAGCGUGGGGAGCAAACAGG
This 253-nucleotide ribosomal RNA is filed under the name uncultured bacterium. RNAcentral describes it as "partial 16S ribosomal RNA". It matches the Rfam family "Bacterial small subunit ribosomal RNA", at positions 524 to 776 of the family's 1533-position model. The record is from RNAcentral.